CGGCUNCCACAUCCAAGGAAGNCAGCAGGCGCGCAAAUUACCCAAUCCUGACACAGGGAGGUAGUGACCAAUAAAUAACAAUACUGGGCCUUUUCAGGUCUGGUAAUUGGAAUGAGUACAAUCUAAACCCCUUAACGAGGAUCAAUUGGAGGGCAAGUCUGGUCCCAGCAGCCGCGGUAAUUCCAGCUCCAAUAGCGUAUAUUUAAGUUGCUGCAGUUAAAAAGCUCGUAGUUGGAUUUCGGGUGGGGCCUGCCGGUCCGCCGUUUCGGUGUGCACUGGCAGGGCCCACCUUGUUGCCGGGGACGGGCUCCUGGGCUUCACUGUCCGGGACUCGGAGUCGGCGCUGUUACUUUGAGUAAAUUAGAGUGUUCAAAGCAGGCCUACGCUCUGAAUACAUUAGCAUGGAAUAACACGAUAGGACUCUGGCCUAUCG
Molecule: ribosomal RNA, 433 nt
Filed under: Chlorella sp. DB1-5
Lineage: Eukaryota; Viridiplantae; Chlorophyta; Trebouxiophyceae; Chlorellales; Chlorellaceae
Description: SSU rRNA
Rfam family: Eukaryotic small subunit ribosomal RNA
Source: RNAcentral